Molecule: long non-coding RNA, 620 nt
Organism: Symphalangus syndactylus (siamang)
Lineage: Eukaryota; Metazoa; Chordata; Mammalia; Primates; Hylobatidae
Source: RefSeq, a predicted model, not a curated record
GGAAAAAGUCUAACUGGCGGAGCUCCUGGGAACUGGGGCGAUGGGCUCUUAGUAUCGGAGGAUUGAAACCGUCUGAUUUUUACCUGAAAUUCCUUAGUCUCUCCUGUGUUGGGGAAAUGGUCACCUUGGCUUCAGGGACCUGGGCUUUCAGCUGUCCAUACCUGGCCCUGGUUGAUGGCGGCAUGCUGGGCAGUGCAUGUGAAGAUGCACAUGGAAUCAGUCAGAUGAAGCCUGCUGCACGGGUCCCUGUCUGCAUCUUGAUCCAAGUGGUUAUAUGCAUUUAGCUCUCCGUGGAUGUAUCUGGUGGCCUGGGCUAGGCCAGUGUAAGGUAAAUCUGCUUUCUUGAGCCAGUCCUCAAAAAUGACUUGGUGGCCUAGUUGUUGGUAGAGGUAAGUGAGUAGCCCCGCCUUCCAGCCUCCAGAUCAGACUCUAUCUCAAAAAAAAAAAAAAAAAAAAAGUCCCUUGCUGGAUUCAAUUCCCUUUCUUAUCUUCUAGGUCCACUCUGGCCUACAUCCUCUGUGCUCAGGACUACCGGUCAGCCAUUUGCUGGUCCCCAGUUCUUCCAGUUUUCUGGGGUCACCCUUUUCUGUAAUAUCCAAAUAAAAUGGCUCAAAUUUCCA